RNAcentral lists this long non-coding RNA (771 nucleotides) under Mytilus galloprovincialis (Mediterranean mussel). Lineage: Eukaryota; Metazoa; Mollusca; Bivalvia; Mytilida; Mytilidae. The record is from RNAcentral.
GGCACAUCAGUCAUCAUCGUAUAACAAUUUUAAAAGGAACAAUUUAACAGAACACAAACACAUCUAUCUAUAAACACAUUCAUUAAUUUGUGUGUCUGACGUCAGAAAAUUUUAUACGUCACAUAGAUUUGUCGUUCAAUGUGCAUACAAACAAUUUUAAAAUUUACAUAGGCAAUGUUAGCAUAUAGGGUUAGAAAAUCAAAAGUAUGUAAGAAUAAAGGAGAAGGUCCGGUAAGGACCAAUUUUGGCCUCAAAUUUCAUGUUCAUCUGACGAAAGAUUUUGACCACUUUUUAAACACUUUUAAGUGUCUAUUUUAUUUGAAUCAAUCAGUUUAUGUGAAAGAUUUUAACUGAUUAAGUCAUAAAAAACGCACCGAUUCAAGCUGAAAUACGAAAAAUCUACCAAAUAUGCCGAAAAAUGUCAUUUUUCAGAUGGUUUUUGUCAAAAAUGAAAGUGGCCGCAUCCGUGUUCAUCCUCAACCUUUAUAUAUGUUAUGUAUUAUCAUAUAAUACAACUUACAUUUCAAUAUUAAGGAUGAACACGAAUGCGGCCACUUUCGUUUUACACGAAAACCGUCUAAAAUUUAACAAAAAUGCUAGAAUUGUGAAGAUUUCAGUAAUUUAGCAUGACUUAAUGGUUCUAGUACCCGAUAUAUGUGCAUUGUAUUGUCAAAAUCAGCCCAAAUUUAUGUAGCAGAAGCAUUUUACUGUCCAAUGAAUAACUUAAGGUUUACAUUUUAACAAUUUUGUAAAACUGCUAUAUUUUGGGGC